CGUCCUGCGCGGAAGAUGUAACGGGGCUAAGCACGUAACCGAAGCUGCGGAUCUACAGUUUACUGUAGGUGGUAGGAGAGCGUUCUGUAAGCCUGUGAAGGUAUCUUGAGAAGGAUGCUGGAGGUAUCAGAAGUGCGAAUGCUGACAUGAGUAGCGAUAAACAAGGUGAAAGUCCUUGUCGCCGAAAACCCAAGGUUUCCUACGCAACGUUCAUCGGCGUAGGGUGAGUCGGCCCCUAAGGCGAGGCAGAAAUGCGUAGUCGAUGGGAAACAGGUUAAUAUUCCUGUACCGAUAUGGAAUGCGAUGGGGGGACGGAGAAGGGUAGGUCAGCCAACUGUUGGAAUAGUUGGUUCAAGCGUGUAGGCGUGCUCUGUAGGCAAAUCCGCAGAGCUUAGCUGAGGCGUGAUAACGAGGUGCCACGUGCACUGAAUUGAUUGAUCCCAUGCUUCCAGGAAAAGCCUCUAAGCUUCAGUUCCAUAUUGACCGUACUGCAAACCGACACAGGUGGGUAGGGUGAGAAUCCUAAGGCGCUUGAGAGAACUCAGGAGAAGGAACUCGGCAAAUUAACACCGUAACUUCGGGAGAAGGUGUGCCCUUGUAGGGUGAAGUCCCUUGCGGAUGGAGCUCGAAAGGGUUGCAGUGAAAAGGUGGCUGCGACUGUUUAUUAAAAACACAGCACUCUGCAAACACGAAAGUGGACGUAUAGGGUGUGACGCCUGCCCGGUGCUGGAAGAUUAAAUGAUGGGGUGCAAGCUCUUGACUGAAGUCCCAGUAAACGGCGGCCGUAACGAUAACGGUCCUAAGGUAGCGAAAUUCCUUGUCGGGUAAGUUCUGACCCGCACGAAUGGCGUAACGAUGGCCACACUGUCUCCUCCUGAGACUCAGCGAAGUUGAAAUGUUUGUGAAGAUGCAAUCUCCCCGCUGCUAGACGGAAAGACCCCGUGAACCUUUACUGUAGCUUUGCAUUGGACUUUGAACAGACUUGUGUAGGAUAGGUGGGAGGCUUUGAAGUGGGAACGCCAGUUCUCAUGGAGCCGUCCUUGAAAUACCACCCUGGUGUGUUUGAGGUUCUAACCUGGGUCCGUCAUCCGGAUCGGGGACCGUGCAUGGUAGGCAGUUUGACUGGGGCGGUCUCCUCCCAAAGUGUAACGGAGGAGCUCGAAGGUCGCCUAGGUACGGUCGGACAUCGUACUGAUAGUGUAAUGGCAUAAGGCGGCUUAACUGCGAGACCGACAAGUCGAGCAGGUGCGAAAGCAGGACAUAGUGAUCCGGUGGUUCUGUAUGGAAGGGCCAUCGCUCAAC
This 1302-nucleotide ribosomal RNA is filed under the name metagenome. Its description in RNAcentral is "bacterial LSU rRNA". It matches the Rfam family "Bacterial large subunit ribosomal RNA", at positions 1155 to 2453 of the family's 2925-position model. The record is from RNAcentral.